RNAcentral lists this long non-coding RNA (646 nucleotides) under Marmota monax (woodchuck). Lineage: Eukaryota; Metazoa; Chordata; Mammalia; Rodentia; Sciuridae. The record is from RNAcentral.
AAAAUAAAGGCUGGGCGCAGUGGUGCACACCUGUAAUCCCAGUGGCUUGGUGAGGCUGAGACAGGAGAAUCUUGAGUUCAAAGCCAACAUCAGCAACUCAGUGAGGCCCUAAGCAACUCAGCGAGAUCCUGUCUCUAAAUAAUAUACAAAAAAAAAAGAGCUGAGGAUGUGGCUCAGUGGUUAAGUGCCCCUGGGUUCAAUCCUCCAUAUCAAAAAAUAAAAUAAAAUAAAAAUAAAAAUAAAAGGGACAUUUGCUCAGUGGUAGAGCACCCCUGAGUUUAAUCCCCAAUACUUCCAAAAUAUCCACCAGUGUCAUAUUUAUAGCAUUGAUCUCAUAUAUUUGCUGUGAUGUUGAAAAGGAAUAAAGCAUAUGAAGUGUGUGAGAUCCCAAUAAAUUUAACCAAUUUAAGAAAAACAUUGUCAUAUGAAGAGACGAACAAUAUACAGAAAAAACUUAGGGAAAAAAUAUUGGAGGUGUGUUGGGAAGCUAAUUAAAUGAUAUAUAAUAUAAAUAUAUAUUCAUACAUAUGUACAUAUAUGUACAUGCUAGUCACAUGUUCAAUUAUUGAGUUACAUGCUAGUCACAUGUUCAAUUACUGAGUUACACUCUUAAAUUUCUUUUUUUCUUUUUAAUUUUUUUUAGUCG